RNAcentral lists this ribosomal RNA (460 nucleotides) under uncultured bacterium. RNAcentral's name for it is "partial 16S ribosomal RNA". It matches the Rfam family "Bacterial small subunit ribosomal RNA", at positions 338 to 795 of the family's 1533-position model. The record is from RNAcentral.
CCUACGGGUGACAGCAGUGAGGAAUAUUGGUCAAUGGACGAGAGUCUGAACCAGCCAAGUAGCGUGAAGGAUGACUGCCCUAUGGGUUGUAAACUUCUUUUAUAAAGGAAUAAAACGAGGCACGUGUGCCUUUUUUCAUGUACUUUCUGAAUAAGGCUCGGCUAACUCCGUGCCCGCAGCCGCGGGAAUACGGAGGAUCCGAUCGUUAUCCGGAUUUAUUGGGGUUAAAGGGAGCUGAGAUGGGAUGUUAAGUCAGUUGUGAAAGUUUGCGGCUCAACCGUAAAAUUGCAAUUGAUACUGGCAGUCUUGAGUACAGUUGAGGUAGGCGGAAUUCGUGGUGUAGCGGUGAAAUGCUUAGAUAUCACGAAGAACCCCGAUUGCGAAGGCAGCUUACUAAACUGUGACUGACAUUGAUGCUCGAAAGUGUGGGUAUCAAACAGGAUUAGAUACCCCUGUAGUC